GAUGAACGCUGGCGGCGUGCUUAACACAUGCAAGUCGAACGGAACUACUCCAAUGAGAGUCUUCGGAAAGGAUUUGGUUUAGUUUAGUGGCGGACGGGUGAGUAACGCGUGGGUAACCUGCCCUAUACAGGGGGAUAACAGUUGGAAACGACUGUUAAUACCGCAUAAGCGCACAGGAGCGCAUGCUCCGGUGUGAAAAACUCCGGUGGUAUAGGAUGGACCCGCGUCUGAUUAGCUGGUUGGCGGGGUAACGGCCCACCAAGGCGACGAUCAGUAGCCGGCCUGAGAGGGUGAACGGCCACAUUGGGACUGAGACACGGCCCAAAAUCCUACGGGAGGCAGCAGUGGGGAAUAUUGCACAAUGGGGGAAACCCUGAUGCAGCGACGCCGCGUGAGCGAAGAAGUAUCUCGGUAUGUAAAGCUCUAUCAGCAGGGAAGAAAAUGACGGUACCUGACUAAGAAGCCCCGGCUAACUACGUG
Molecule: ribosomal RNA, 480 nt
Filed under: uncultured bacterium
Lineage: Bacteria
Description: partial 16S ribosomal RNA
Rfam family: Bacterial small subunit ribosomal RNA
Source: RNAcentral